UACGGAAGGGGCAAGCGUUGUUCGGAAUCAUUGGGCGUAAAGGGCGCGUAGGUGGUCGGGUAUGUCGACCGUGAAAGCCCACGGCUCAACCGUGGUGUGUCGGUGGAAACUGCCCGACUUGAGGCUGGGAGGGGCUGGUGGAAUUCCCCGUGUAGCGGUGAAAUGCGUAGAGAUGGGGGAGAACACUCGUGGCGAAGGCGGCCAGCUAGACCAGCACUGACACUGAGGCGCGAUAGCGUGGGGAGCAAACAGG
RNAcentral lists this ribosomal RNA (253 nucleotides) under uncultured bacterium. RNAcentral's name for it is "partial 16S ribosomal RNA". It matches the Rfam family "Bacterial small subunit ribosomal RNA", at positions 524 to 776 of the family's 1533-position model. The record is from RNAcentral.